GCGAAAGCGAGUCUUAAUAGGGCGUCGAGUUAGAUGGAUCAGACCCGAAACCGAGUGAUCUAGGCAUGACCAGGAUGAAGGUAAGGUAACACUUACUGGAGGUCCGAACCCACACCUGUUGAAAAAGGUCGGGAUGAGUUGUGCCUAGGGGUGAAAGGCCAAUCAAACUCGGAGAUAGCUGGUUCUCCGCGAAAUCUAUUUAGGUAGAGCGUCAUCCGAAUACCCCCGGGGGUAGAGCACUGGAUGGGUAAUGGGGCCCCACAGGCUUACUGAUCCUAACCAAACUCCGAAUACCGGGGAGUACUAGAUGGCAGACACACUGCGGAUGCUAACGUCCGUAGUGGA
RNAcentral lists this ribosomal RNA (345 nucleotides) under uncultured Micromonas. RNAcentral's name for it is "partial Bacterial large subunit ribosomal RNA". It matches the Rfam family "Bacterial large subunit ribosomal RNA", at positions 671 to 1014 of the family's 2925-position model. The record is from RNAcentral. Lineage: Eukaryota; Viridiplantae; Chlorophyta; Mamiellophyceae; Mamiellales.